RNAcentral lists this long non-coding RNA (1046 nucleotides) under Daphnia pulex (common water flea). RNAcentral describes it as "uncharacterized LOC124207846, transcript variant X4". Lineage: Eukaryota; Metazoa; Arthropoda; Branchiopoda; Diplostraca; Daphniidae. The record is from RNAcentral.
UUUCUUUGAUCUAGGCUAUUUUGCUGAAAGUUCAUUGUCGUUACCUUUUCAUUACGUGAUCUGUGGAGCUUGAGUUAUCUUUUUUAGUAGGUCUGAACUUCAUCUGUGAUUUAUCCCUCCUCCAAUGAAAGACGAUCAACAGGUACCUAGUUACCAAAACUUCUGCACGCAUAUCAGUGAGACCACAUUUCUGUUGUUUUUGUUUUCCCUAUCUGGACGACAUCGAGACCAGACUGGAAUGACUUUACCCCCUCCCAAAUGGACCUAUUGUCGUAUUCCAUUUUGCUCCGCGAAUAGAUCUGUAUCAACGAUUAAAACGCUUAAGGUUCAAUUUUUCAACGUAUUUUUGUUUCUAUCCUAAGUCUAUUUAAAGUCUACCUGUAUAGGGCUAGUGUAAAUUAUUCAAUGUAUUUGCAAAUGGAACUUAUUUUGACUGAUACCGGUGAUACCCUGAAAAAUGUUCUCACUUUAAAUUGGAAUAAAUAGUGAAUUAGCCUAUUUACGAAAAAUCUUAAAUAUUGUGUUCAGACCACUUCAGGCAUUUUUUUUUACAACGAAAGCAGUAACAUUCAGUCAAGUUGUUAACUGAGUUCAAAUCAGGAACAAAGACUCGAUAAUAUUCCAAAUCAUCAAGGCGUUGAUGUCAUAUGUUGAGACCAGCAGAUGGAGAAUCAAUGUUUGCUCAAUUAAAGUAGAGAACAAAAUAAGAAAUACAAUAUGGAUGAUGCUAAUUUUCAUUGGUGAAAGGAGUGGUGACCAAGUCAAGUUUCACCUGCUGCGUGCAAUCUACGCUGGUGUUGUCCUGAAGUGUGGAAGCGUUACUUGAAAUGUUACAGCAACUGAAGACUUCAGAAACGGAAGAUCUACGAUGCUGUCAUUUUUCCAACGUCCGGUUGAAGCCAUUCAGAGAAGGUCAUAACUCAUAAGGAACAUUACGUAAGUGUCAUGUGGUGGUGUAAGGUUGGGUGAGAAUUGAGAAAGACACGUGUUCAUCAUUAUCAAACCCAUCCCCAGCAACGUCAUCCUUCAGAAGGAAAGGCCAGUUU